AUUGAACGCUGGCGGCAGGCUUAACACAUGCAAGUCGAGCGGGGGAAGGUAGCUUGCUACCGGACCUAGCGGCGGACGGGUGAGUAAUGCUUGGGAAUCUGCCUAUUAGUGGGGGACAACAUCUCGAAAGGGAUGCUAAUACCGCAUACGUCCUACGGGAGAAAGCAGGGGAUCUUCGGACCUUGCGCUAAUAGAUGAGCCUAAGUCGGAUUAGCUAGUUGGUGGGGUAAAGGCCUACCAAGGCGACGAUCUGUAGCGGGUCUGAGAGGAUGAUCCGCCACACUGGGACUGGGACACGGCCCAGGCUCCUACGGGAGGCAGCAGUGGGGAAUAUUGGACAAUGGGGGGAACCCUGAUCCAGCCAUGCCGCGUUUGUGAAGAAGGCCUUAUGGUUGUAAAGCACUUUAAGCGAGGAGGAGGCUACUCUAGUUAAUACCUGGGGAUAGUGGACGUUACUCGCAGAAUAAGCACCGGCUAACUCUGUGCCAGCCGCCGCCGUAA
Molecule: ribosomal RNA, 501 nt
Filed under: uncultured bacterium
Lineage: Bacteria
Description: partial 16S ribosomal RNA
Rfam family: Bacterial small subunit ribosomal RNA
Source: RNAcentral